Sciurus carolinensis (gray squirrel) is the source of this 422-nucleotide long non-coding RNA. RefSeq lists it as uncharacterized. The record is from RefSeq and is a predicted model, not a curated record. Lineage: Eukaryota; Metazoa; Chordata; Mammalia; Rodentia; Sciuridae. The transcript is spliced from 3 exons.
GGGAACAGGAUGGCGGGCGGGUGCGGAUGAGUAAGCUGCGGGUGAGUCAAGAAGAGCCGCUAGGGAAUGAGAGGUGAGCUGGCCAGGAGGCACAGGCUGCAGAACGCGGCAGGUCACCUGUGUUCACAGACUGAGACCAGGAGCUCGCAUGAGCUUGGGAAGGACAGUUGAGUCUCGCUGGAAGCCUUUGGAGGGAGGUGGCAUCUGACCUUCAUUCGCCCUUCCGGCAGCGACAUCAGAUCAUGCCGGGUGAGGAGAGUUCUGCUCAGGAAAUCUGUCAGUAUCUCACCGAACACGAUCGGCUCCCAGGUACUGUGCUUGACACCUGUGGUUUCCCUGGAGCCCAGGACGGCAGGGCCCAGGUCAGAAACUGGACCGAUGCUAUUGUCAAGGCAACCGAGCACUGUACUCCCCGAUGGAGG